RNAcentral lists this unclassified non-coding RNA (370 nucleotides) under soil metagenome. Its description in RNAcentral is "partial contains 5.8S ribosomal RNA, internal transcribed spacer 2, and large subunit ribosomal RNA". The stretch from base 1 to 120 matches the Rfam family "5.8S ribosomal RNA", at positions 35 to 154 of the family's 154-position model. The record is from RNAcentral.
GAUGAAGAACGUAUCGAAAUGCGAUAAGUAAUGUGAAUUGCAGAAUUCAGUGAACCAUCGAAUCUUUGAACGCGCAUUGCGCCAGGCAGUAUUCUGCCGGGCAUGCCUGUCCGAGCGUCAUUUCUACCCUCGAGCGAGUCCAGCAUCUAGGUGCUGGGCCUCGCCCGGCGUUGGAGCACUACGGGAAGCCCUGUGCUGUCCCCCGUAGGCCCCGAAAUGAAGUGGCGGUCCUGCCGCGGCGCCCCCUGCGUAGUAUAACAGCUCCCUUCGGGACCCGGUGGAGGCCUGCCGUCAAACCUAUACUCUCUAAGUUUGACCUCGGAUCAGGUAGGGUUACCCGCUGAACUUAAGCAUAUCAAUAAGCGGAGGA